UCCGGGUUAUGUCCUGUCCAUUUAUUUACACUACAGAGGUUCAAAUACAUGAGGAAAUGUGUGUGGUUAUCUGCAAGUGAAAAUAUAAAACAAUAAACACAUACUGUACAAAUGUUUGUGAUAUUGUCCAAUAAAAUCCCAUUUACAGGUGAGGUAACAGUAUCUCAUAAUGCUGUUUCAACACAAACUCAGAUAACCAUGUAAUAUCUCUAUGAGGUCACCAGAGGGUACUCUGAGCUUACAAAUGGCUCGAUGUGGCUUUUUAAUAUAACCACAUAAUAAACAGUUCACAAGUUUUUUAAACACACCUUUACAAUAUUACAUUACAGAAUCCUUAAGAUUGAACUCAUAAUAAUAAUCAUAAUAACACGUAUAUAUAUAAUAGAAACAGCAUUCAACAAAAAUUACCCUGCAUUCAUCUUUUUGUCGUGAGCAUGUUACAGAACCACAGAGCAUGUUGCUGGUGCUAAGACUAGCAACUUUACAAGUGUUAUGCUUGGCCUACUAAGGCAACUGGCAUAGUCAAAAAGAUUCCAUAAAAAAUUUUGAUCCACAAAUAAUGCUGUGCACCAAGGACACACUGGAACUAAGUACAGGAAUAAAUACCCAAAUACCAGGGUUGGUAAUCAAAAUUUAGUUCCAAAUUACAGCCAAAAUGGAAAAUGGAAAGUACUGGAAAGAAAAACUUAUUUUCUCUUCUGCUUAUGAGUUGUGAGACACAUAACCAAUGCUGCCACCAUUAUUUGUUGGAUAUUUUAGCUUGUUUUUGUUUGUUUCAGAACUAGAAUCGAUCAAAUGCAAAUGAUUUCCAGACAGCACCACGUGUUGACCUCUAAACACAACAUUGACCUAUUAAGAACCUCAAAAGCCAUCUACUGUAUGACCUACAGACAAAGCAUACAGACUAUCCAUCAAUUCAUAUCUCAAUUUUUCAAUUGUAAAAUACUUUUUUUCCAAUAGGACCUCUAUGCCAACAAGCAACAUUUCAUGGACUCCUCUGUCUAUAUGGAGGGACGAGGUGGAGGUUGUAUCUAAAUACAAAUACUUGGAAGAAAUUUGGACAACAAAUUCAACAGAGAGCUGGCUGUAUUUUCUGUGAAGGCUCAAGUCCUUCAAUUUCUGCAGCACCAUGCUGCUGAUGUUCUAUGAGUCUCUGGUGGCCAUUAAUAAAGUUAGACAGCUAUAAACAAGAACUUUGAUUCUGCAUUUUGAACCCUUUUAUACGUAAAUUCACGUAAGGCAACCCAGCUAGGAAGGAACGUUCUCACACAUUUUGGUGUGUGAGAAACAAUGUUUUCAACGUUAAACAACAUUGUGUAAUAUUAUAUUUCAUCAUAUUUCAUAUAAAUUUUAACUGAAACAUUCUGUAAAUGUUCUUAGAAGAUUGUGAAUGCAAAGUUUGUUUGACAAUAUUGUGGGAAUAUUGUAUAUUAUACAAAACUAAAACUUUUUUGUUGCAAAAUUUUGAGAAUCUUCUUUAAACAUCUUCAGUGUAAUGUUUCUUCCAUAACUUUCAGACAAUGUCACAUAAUAUAUGUAAUGUGACCUCACAUUUGUUCCAUUCUUGUAAACAUAUCUCAUGACCCUCUAAAUAAAAUAUGAGUCUGGACAAACCUGAUUGUAAACUUGAAUUUGACUUAUUUACACGCAUAAGAGUUGUGUUGUUAGUCUGAGUACUUCGAAAACAUAGAUGACCUGGACUCUUUAUUUGACCCAAACGCCUCCUGUGUAGAUUUAUGCAGGACCAAGGCUGCUGCUGUUGCUCUGCUAACAAAGGUGGUGGUCAUGCUCUGCUUUCUCUAUAGGCUAGUGUUGGGUAUGUCUUUUGGAGGCUGAUGCAAGUAUCUUCACAAAUCACUAAUACAAUACAUUAAAGACAAAAAUACAGCAAUUGUCUGCAAAAACAAGUUCCUAACAUGAUACCAAUCACAUGCCAAGCCCCAUAAAUCCAAUAGUGCAAUUCAGUGCAAUGAUGUGACUGGACAAUGAUGUUAUAAAAUUCAAUUAAUUAAUUACUAAUAAAUGAAGAAAAACCUGUUUUGUGUUUACAAUACAGUCCAUGUUGAACAUACAGUACCUUGCUCGUAAAGAUUGCUCAAGAUUAACAAGAACAAUUAAGUAUAAUAUGAAAAACUUUGGGCUUAACACUUUGUAAGCAGCAAGUAGGCAAAAAAUGUCACAACACAAAGAGGUCUUUGAUACAUGCUUAAUAAUAGCAAAAAAUGUAGCAUUGGGAGACACACGCUGCUGUAAACAAACACCAAGCUCAUGGUCAUAAUAACAGUUGAGACAAUUCCGCACUGGUCAGUCAGUCCACUCCACCCUCCCUACCUCAGGUCAGUUAUAAGGUUAGGGCUACUGUCUGUGGAUUUUACAGCUGCACAUCACAUUCUGCAAAUUGCACCCGACUUGUAAAACUUCAGUUUUUUCUUGUGAAACACGUAGUGUUGAUUAAUGUAGAAUUUGUAGUUUACAGGUGACAAUAUCUAAUAAUCAAAUACAUUGGAUUUUAUUGAUGCAGACAUCUAAUAAUCACUUAAUUUUACUCUAGAGCUGCUCUAUGACGAAAUCAUACUGACACAUGAGCCAGACUUCGCUCACACAUCAAUGCUUUAACCUCAGACAAUGUCACAUUCUCAGUUGAUGAAUUAGUCUGCAGUAGCACAUAUUAAAUAAUUAUACAGCCAAAAAAAAAAAA
This is a long non-coding RNA of Anabas testudineus (climbing perch), 2698 nucleotides long. Lineage: Eukaryota; Metazoa; Chordata; Actinopteri; Anabantiformes; Anabantidae. The record is from Ensembl.